Molecule: ribosomal RNA, 501 nt
Filed under: uncultured Oscillibacter sp.
Lineage: Bacteria; Bacillati; Bacillota; Clostridia; Eubacteriales; Oscillospiraceae
Description: bacterial SSU rRNA
Rfam family: Bacterial small subunit ribosomal RNA
Source: RNAcentral
AGAGUUUGAUCCUGGCUCAGGACGAACGCUGGCGGCGUGCUUAACACAUGCAAGUCGAACGGAGCACCCCUGAAGGAGUUUUCGGACAACGGAAGGGAAUGCUUAGUGGCGGACUGGUGAGUAACGCGUGAGGAACCUGCCUUCCAGAGGGGGACAACAGUUGGAAACGACUGCUAAUACCGCAUGAUACGUUGGAGCCGCAUGACUCCGACGUCAAAGAUUUAUCGCUGGAAGAUGGCCUCGCGUCUGAUUAGCUAGUUGGUGAGGUAACGGCCCACCAAGGCGACGAUCAGUAGCCGGACUGAGAGGUUGGCCGGCCACAUUGGGACUGAGAUACGGCCCAGACUCCUACGGGAGGCAGCAGUGGGGAAUAUUGGGCAAUGGACGCAAGUCUGACCCAGCAACGCCGCGUGAAGGAAGAAGGCUUUCGGGUUGUAAACUUCUUUUAAGGGGGAAGAGCAGAAGACGGUACCCCUUGAAUAAGCCACGGCUAACUACGUG